Molecule: long non-coding RNA, 516 nt
Filed under: Trifolium pratense (red clover)
Lineage: Eukaryota; Viridiplantae; Streptophyta; Magnoliopsida; Fabales; Fabaceae
Description: long non-coding RNA (TPRA_LNC000884)
Source: RNAcentral
GAUUAAAAUUAAAGCAGUGAAUUAAAAAAUAAUAUAACAUCAAACUGUUCAUUUAACUGUGAUAAUAUAAAUAGUUUCAUUUAAGUAUAUCAGUGAAAAACAUAUGAAUUUUGGUAAAUAUGUUCAUCAUAUUAUAGACCAUACCAUGUAGUAAGGUAGAGAGUUUUUAUUUUACAUACUGUACUAUAGUAUACAACAUAUGGAUGUGUGUAUAGUUUUCGAGUAGGGAUCCUCGAAAAUUUUAUUUUACAUACUGUACUAUAGUAAGGUAGAGAGUUUUUAUUUUACAUACUGUACUAUAGUAUACAACAUACUACAAUUACUAAAAUUUUGGUGUAUACAUAUUUAAAUAAUAUCAACAAUUCUCGAAAGAUAUGCAUUUAUAUCCUUAUUUAUUUCAAAACUAUGGUAAUGGACAAUAUCAUUUCUUUGGGGAAAUUGAGAGGAUCCUUAUUCAUGGUUUUCAUGGGCGUCUCCUACGCCCUCCAUUUUCGCUUCUUAAGCCACUUCCCCAAC